This is a long non-coding RNA of Acanthochromis polyacanthus (spiny chromis), 584 nucleotides long. RefSeq lists it as uncharacterized. The transcript has 2 exons. Lineage: Eukaryota; Metazoa; Chordata; Actinopteri; Pomacentridae. The record is from RefSeq and is a predicted model, not a curated record.
ACAAACCUACCUUCAGAAUGGGAACGUUGCUCUGCUCAGCCAGGAAGACGGCUCGGUUGCAGAGUCCAGCGAUUCUGGCCAGGGCAGCCCAGGUGGCCGAGCUCCUGUCGAAGGAGGUACCGCUCUGGUUCUCCGUGGUGUCGGCCUCGUGGAUCUGGUUGUCGAACCACAUGUGGGCCACGGUCAUCCUGUUCUGGGUCAGGGUGCCGGUCUUGUCUGAGCAGAUGGUGGAGGUGGAGCCCAGAGUCUCCACAGCUUCCAGGUUCUUCACCAGGCAGUUCUUCUUGGCCAUACGCUUAGCAGUCAGGGUCAGACACACCUGGAGGUAGACACCAAGAGUUUACAGCUGUCACGAAGUCCGUUGCAGAAGAAGCUAUUCUGAUUAAACCAGAUUAAACUACAGACGCCGGAACUCACAGUGACGGUAGCCAGGAGACCUUCUGGCACAUUGGCGACGAUGAUACCGAUGAGGAAGAUGACGGCCUCCAGCCAGCCAUAACCGAGGAUCAGGGACAGGAUGAAGAAGGAAACUCCCAGGAAGACGGCCACACCGGUGAUGAUGUGGAUGAAAUGCUCGAUCUCAA